This is a long non-coding RNA of Bubalus bubalis (water buffalo), 1827 nucleotides long. RefSeq lists it as uncharacterized. The transcript has 2 exons. The record is from RefSeq and is a predicted model, not a curated record. NCBI's taxonomy places the organism in Eukaryota, Metazoa, Chordata, Mammalia, Artiodactyla, Bovidae.
UUUUGUUCAUUUCCAUAUUGUUUCUUUUCCCAAAGAGCUGCAGACUAAGAAACAGGUAGUUUGGGUGUGAGAGAAUAGCGAGAAGUUUUUCAAGGGCUGUUCAUUUUAAUACUUGUUUCCACAAAGAAACGUGGCUGAGCAGACUGGUCUCUGCACCUGAUUUAACCUGAUUUCCGUCGGAGCAGAAAUCUGGUAACAGCUGAUUACCUGAGUAGUAGUCUCAACACUUUCUAUCUGAUCAAAAACCUCUGCAUCGUUAGCAGUAAAUUAUUUGAGGACAAGGAGCAAACAGCAAUGAUAGACUGAACUUGAGAAAGGAAUUACAAAAGUAAACAAGCAAGUAAGGAGUGGCGAGGCAGUGCCAUUGGAGGUGGAUGAAGGUUAACGAGAAGGGAUCUCAGAGCUUCCAUUUGGGCGAACAGAGGUGACAGAAUCGGUCAGGAGCAGGACAAAGCCGUUACUGGGCGCUUGCCCCUCCGCACGCCCCAAUGUCCACACCCUGCGCCCCAGAAGUCAGAGGAGAGGGUGGCAUGGCUGGUCCCUCACGCCCUGUUCUCCGCUGAGCGUCCCCUGCCUUCAGGGGAACGUGCUUGCAGGAGCUGGCAGCUCGGAGGCCUGUCCUUCGGGACUUUUCCGAAAGACAGGUGUUUCUCGCUCGAGACAGGUUCACACACCAAGAGUGGUGGUUAAUCGUAACUAUCCCUGGCCUCACCUGAAACUUGAGAAGUAGUUUUUAGUUUCACUUCAGGGUGAAGAGAAGUGAACAGCUUCCCAGAGCUUCCCAGAGUUGUGUCUUUGUUUUAGGAGCAUGAGGCUCACGCAGCUCAGGUCAGCCCUUUGGAGUUCCUCUCUCACUCCCCCAAGCACCGUCACAGCUGUGAUCACUUUCACAUGUGCUUGGGGUUGGCUCGGGCUCAUCACCUGUGCCUGGGGUCGGCUCAGGCCCAUCGCCUGUGCCAGGGGUCGGCUCGGACCCAUCGCCUGUACCCGGGGUCGGCUCGGACCCAUCGCCUGUGCCUGGCGUCAGCUCAGGCCCAUCACGUGUGCCCGGGGUUGACUCAGACCCAUCACGUGUGCCCUGGCUCAACUCAGGCCCAUCGCCUGUGCCCGGGGUCGGCUCAGACCCAUCGCCUGUGCCUGGGGUUGGCUUGGACCCAUCACCUCGGAGAGUUUACAGCUGCUCCCUGUUGACGUCAUAUGUUGUGGAAGGGCCUAGAAAUAGGCGCCACCUCUGGGCAGGUUUAACUUUUUGUGAGAUAAAGAGCUCCACUACUCCAGUUAAGGCAGGAGGAGUGCCCUCUCCCCACCCAGAAGCUAGCCGAUCAGCACGAGAGCACAGUCACUGGGACCUGAAGCUGGGGGACGUGGGAACACAGGCCACGGAGAGUCUAAACUGGAGCAGAGGAACCUGGCAGCUUUCUGGCGGAGAGCUGUGGGUGACGCUUGUGUUCCCGCUGGGGUCUGCAGGGAGCCUGUAGGAUGGAGGCCUCUGUGCCUAGUUCCCAGGAAUGGGCUUCUCUCUUGUCCGAAAGCCUCCAACUUAGAACCAGCAGCCUGUUUUUCCUUUCCUGUUUUGUGCUUCUGCGCCUUUGUUCAUGUGGACACUUGGGCGUCCCAUAUGUCUCGCAUUGCCUGCCUCGGAUGUCAGCUCAAAUACUGCCUCUUGCAGGAAGCCUUCCCUGAAUGCCCUGUGCCAGGCUCUGCCCUCAGAGCCUUCUCAGCCGUUACCCCUUCAGUUUGUGGUCAUGUUGUAAACUCCUGGAAGGCGGGGACUGUGUCUAGUGUCUGUUACCUCCCUGAGCUCAGCCCAGGUGCAGACACGUUCAG